CACAGAAUGUUUAGUGAGAGAAAAAUUUGAAAUAGAAGCGUGGUAGAUUUGUUGAAAAUAAUCAGCAAAUCUACCACGCAUGUGGUAAGUACAGAUUAUAUUUUCCCAAUAUUAUUGAUUGUCACAGAAUAAUUAUCAAUCGCAACUU
This is a long non-coding RNA of Octopus sinensis (East Asian common octopus), 148 nucleotides long. RefSeq lists it as uncharacterized. The record is from RefSeq and is a predicted model, not a curated record. Lineage: Eukaryota; Metazoa; Mollusca; Cephalopoda; Octopoda; Octopodidae. The transcript has 3 exons.